CCCUGAAGUCGGGAAUAGCUCCGGGAAACUGGAAUUAAUACCGGAUGUGGCGUAGGAUCCGCAUGGAUCUUUCGCUAAAGGCGCAAGCCGCUUCAGGAGGAGCUCGCGUCCUAUUAGCUAGUUGGCGGGGUAACGGCCCACCAAGGCUUAGAUGGGUAGCUGGUCUGAGAGGACGACCAGCCGCAUUGGGACUGAGACACUGCCCAGACUCCUACGGGAGGCUGCAGUCGAGAAUCUUGGGCAAUGGGCGAAAGCCUGACCCAGCAAUUCCGCGUGCGGGAUGAAGGUCUUCGGAUUGUAAACCGCUGUCACUGGGGACGAAAUAUGACGGUACCUGGAGAGGAAGACACGGCUAACUACGUGCCAGCAGCCGCGGUAAUACGUAGGUGUCGAGCGUUGUUCGGAUUUAUUGGGCGUAAAGGGUCCGCAGGUGGUCUGAUAAGUCUGGUGUGAAAUCCCGGAGCUCAACUCCGGAACUGCAUUGGAGACUGUCGGACUUGAGUAUCGGAGAGGAGAUUGGAACUCCAGGUGUACCGAUAAAAUGCGUAGAUAUCUGGAAGAACACCGUAAGCGAAGGCAGAUCUCUGGACGAUAACUGAC
This 600-nucleotide ribosomal RNA is filed under the name uncultured bacterium. RNAcentral describes it as "bacterial SSU rRNA". It matches the Rfam family "Bacterial small subunit ribosomal RNA", at positions 129 to 744 of the family's 1533-position model. The record is from RNAcentral.